AGCAGCCGCGGUAAUUCCAGCUCCAAUAGCGUAUAUUAAAGUUGUUGCAGUUAAAAAGCUCGUAGUUGAAUUUCGGGGUUAGUAGGUUGGUCGUGCCUCUGGUAUGUACUCGCCUUUACUGAUUCCUCUUUCUUGAAGAACUGUAAUGCCAUUAAUUUGGUGUUGCAGGGAAACAGGACUGUUACUUUGAAAAAAUUAGAGUGUUUAAAGCAGGCCGAUGCCUGAAUACAUUAGCAUGGAAUAAUGAAAUAGGACGUUGAUCCUAUUUUGUUGGUUUCUAGGAUUGACGUAAUGAUUAAUAGGGAUAGUUGGGGGCAUUAGUAUUCAAUUGUCAGAGGUGAAAUUCUUGGAUUUAUUGAAGACUAACUACUGCGAAAGCAUUUGCCAAGGAUGUUUUCAUUAAUCAAGAACGAAAGUUAGGGGAUCGAAGACGAUCAGAUACCGUCGUAGUCUUAACCAUAAACUAUGCCGACUAGGGAUC
Molecule: ribosomal RNA, 481 nt
Filed under: uncultured Glomus
Lineage: Eukaryota; Fungi; Glomeromycota; Glomeromycetes; Glomerales; Glomeraceae
Description: SSU rRNA
Rfam family: Eukaryotic small subunit ribosomal RNA
Source: RNAcentral